This 843-nucleotide long non-coding RNA is filed under the name Mus spicilegus (steppe mouse). RNAcentral's name for it is "lncRNA (ENSMSIG00000029942.1)". The record is from RNAcentral. Lineage: Eukaryota; Metazoa; Chordata; Mammalia; Rodentia; Muridae.
CUGGACUCCAAGGGAGGAGGCUGGGAGCUCAGGUCUCUGCUGCAAUCGGAGGAUCCCGGGCUGCAGCCGCUGUGUGAAGUUCCCAGCACACACUCCUCGGCUGCUGCUCUGCACUGUCAAUUGUGGGUGAGCCAGGACAACAACAAGGAGAGCGAUCCCAUUUUGCCUUCUUAGAGAAAGGGCUGAGAAAUGAGCCGCCCAAGGAAUCUGGCAAGGAGAGGAGUGAAAGGCAGAUUCCUGCCAGCAGCUAAGUUGUAAAAUUGCUUUGGAGUCUACCCAGGGAGCGCGAUAGAAUUGAUAAGAGCAGCGCAAGCCGGGUUCCUGAGCAAAGGCAUGCCCGGCUGCACUUGAGUCAGGGCGGGCGCAGGAACGCUGCCUGUGCCUCCUGCAACUAUCUGUGGCUGGAAUAAAGGAAAAGAGCCUAGGAACACAAUUGCAAGGGGGAUUCCUGGACAGAAAAUACAUCUAUCCUCAAAGGAGGGGAACAACAACCCAGCUGGCCUGUGUGCGUUUUUAGAAGGAGAAUCCCUCAGGUUCUCUAUUGCAUCAGUUAACAGACCCUGGGAAUUGUUGACUAAUUAUGCUAAAACUUUACUCAAGUCGUUGGAGUACACGUUCAAGAUACAUCAUGAAGUUACAUGGACGUGAAAGCGCUGUAAAACUUCCCUUCCAGAAAGGUGGAGGAGCUAAGCUGGUGGAGUCCACAGACCCUUGACCUUCCACAGGAACGCCAUCCACUUUCCUGCCCCUUCUGGUGAUUGAUGGCACCAGAGAACAGUGAUGCUGGCCUUGGGUUUACAGACUACCAUCCCAGUGCCUUGUUCACUUCCUUGGAUUAGAGAA